Long non-coding RNA from Bradysia coprophila, 138 nucleotides. Lineage: Eukaryota; Metazoa; Arthropoda; Insecta; Diptera; Sciaridae. The record is from RefSeq and is a predicted model, not a curated record.
AAAAACAACCAGCCGAAAUCAGCCGCGGUCGAUGUUACUCUCAGCCGAGUUAAGUCGCCGCCGACAUUUUUGAAUAUCGGUUCCGCCGCCGCCGUAAUUUUUUGGCCGGCGCUCGGGUCUAAUUUGUACCGGUUGAGU